ACCAGAAUGACCCAAAGUCAUUGUGGUGGCUGAGGGCUCCCAUGGAGAGACCUGCUCUGUGCUGGGGCUCAGUCCAGACUAUGUGGUGGAAUCCUGCAAUGCUUAUGGAGCAAAUGCCACCUUCCCAAGACUAGAGAAGAGACAGUAAUGAAGAUCAUCUUCCAUCCAGCGUUCAACACCUACAAGAUGGACAUCGAGCCCUGCAUGAGGAAAGCUGUGAUGUCUCCAGUGCAGCGCAGCAGGAGGCUGUUUGAGAUCGUGCUGUCCCACAGGUGGGCCACGGCGGCCUACAGCCAGGGUGAGGGCAGGGUGGUCACCAUGGAGGGUGAAGUGGCUCGAGUGCUCAGCUUUGACACAGCUGAAGAAAUGGAGGCUGAAGUUCUGAUUUUUGCCCAAGCACCUGCUGGAAAUAGGAGGUCAAAUGAGGGUUCAAGUGCAGCUCCGUCAGACCCUGGGGCCCAAGUCGCCCUCACGGCCCUUGUCGUCUCCUCCAUCACGUACAUACACACACACACACACGGUGCUGAGGAACAGACCUGCUGCAUCUCUCUCUGUACUUUUUUGUAAGAAUUUGAUCAUGGUUCAAAGUACAUAGCCCAGGAGAAAAAUGGGAUGGCAGGGGAAUGGCUUUUUGCAUGUGAUCCAUUUUAUUUUUGCUAAGUCAACAAAACAUACUGUAUUUGCCUAGGGGAGCUAAGUCAGGCUAUUUAAAUUUCCCUGUCACUACAAAUAUUCUCUUGAUUUAUGAAAAAAUA
This is a long non-coding RNA of Mustela putorius furo (domestic ferret), 755 nucleotides long. NCBI's taxonomy places the organism in Eukaryota, Metazoa, Chordata, Mammalia, Carnivora, Mustelidae. The record is from Ensembl.